RNAcentral lists this transfer RNA (82 nucleotides) under Candidatus Yanofskybacteria bacterium RIFCSPHIGHO2_01_FULL_39_44. Its description in RNAcentral is "tRNA-Ser". It matches the Rfam family "tRNA". Rfam says of the family: Transfer RNA (tRNA) molecules are approximately 80 nucleotides in length. Their secondary structure includes four short double-helical elements and three loops (D, anti-codon, and T loops). Further hydrogen bonds mediate the characteristic L-shaped molecular structure. tRNAs have two regions of fundamental functional importance: the anti-codon, which is responsible for specific mRNA codon recognition, and the 3' end, to which the tRNAs corresponding amino acid is attached (by aminoacyl-tRNA synthetases). tRNAs cope with the degeneracy of the genetic code in two manners: having more than one tRNA (with a specific anti-codon) for a particular amino acid; and 'wobble' base-pairing, i.e. permitting non-standard base-pairing at the 3rd anti-codon position. Lineage: Bacteria; Candidatus Yanofskyibacteriota. The record is from RNAcentral. RNAcentral also lists the same sequence under 1 other name.
GGAGGAUUCGCCUAAUGGUAUGGCAAUGGUCUUGAAAACCAUCGGGAGCAAUCCCUUGCAGGUUCGAGUCCUGCAUCCUCCG